RNAcentral lists this ribosomal RNA (222 nucleotides) under uncultured bacterium. Its description in RNAcentral is "partial 16S ribosomal RNA". It matches the Rfam family "Bacterial small subunit ribosomal RNA", at positions 1270 to 1500 of the family's 1533-position model. The record is from RNAcentral.
GAUCUCGAAAGCCUGUCCCAGUUCGGACUGGAGUCUGNAACCCGACUCCACGAAGUUGGAUUCGCUAGUAAUCGCGCAUCAGCCAUGGCGCGGUGAAUACGUUCCCGGGCCUUGUACACACCGCCCGUCAAGCCAUGGGAGCCGGGGGCGCCUGAAGUCCGGGACCGCGAGGACCGGCCUAGGGCGAAACUGGUAACUGGGGCUAAGUCGUAACAAGGUAAC